Long non-coding RNA from Hemicordylus capensis (graceful crag lizard), 260 nucleotides. RefSeq lists it as uncharacterized. The record is from RefSeq and is a predicted model, not a curated record. The transcript has 3 exons. Lineage: Eukaryota; Metazoa; Chordata; Lepidosauria; Squamata; Cordylidae.
UAACGAUCAGGUGCAGCAGGGAGCUGAGUCAGAGCAGCCGGGCUUUCAGGAGGAGUGGGAGGCUCUCUUCUGAUCUUCUACAAGAAUUCAAGAGACCGAAAGGAGGCAGCGACACAGAAUCGAGGCCAUCUACGCAACCAGGUUGGAAGGGGAGCCAAGGAGAUGGAAGAAGCCAAGCUGCACAACUGCCUCCGGGUUCCUUUUGGGAUAACUCCGUCGCUUGGCCUGACCGAGAGGUGUCACUCCUAGCCUCCCUUCUG